AUUCUCCCCCUCCCCCUCCUCCUCCUCACCAUCAUCAUCACUGUCACCUCACCACCGUCAUUACACUAUCAUCACCAUCACCACUAGCAUCACCACCAUCACCAUCAUCAUCAUCGUCGCUGCUGUCCUCAGCUGAGUGUUGUGCAAUGAAGCAGACUGGCAGGGAUUGUGAUGUAACCUUAUCUGCUGGAGUCAGCCAUGGAAGCCUGCCCACACUCCCAGUGUCACCUCUGGGCCCUCUGGGCCCUCCUACCUGUCCCUUCCCUAGAUACCUCUGAGAGUGCUAUCUGGGGAGGUAACGCUGGCACCUCAGAGCCCCUGGCUGUGGCCCAGGCUGACAUCCCAAAUGCAGAGCCCCCUCACCGUCAGUGGGAUUGGCAAACUCCUUGGGCACAGCUGCCCCAUCGUCCAGCUCGACAGCCUCUAGGCCCGUGCGGACCCCUUCAAUCUGGACCUCAUGCUCUCCCGAAGCCGUGUCAUCCUCUGACCUGGCACUCUCGCCCGUGCGACGGAAUUUCACCACCCUAGAGAACAGAGCAAAUCUGGUCAUGAUGGCUAGAACUUCCCUUCAAUGCCCUUGCUGAACAGCUCUUGUGCCCAAGACAGGUGAAAGGCUUUUUCUCAUGGUCCGGAGAAUCGAAUGGAUGUGCAGGUGGUGCUGCCGUUGCUGAUGUGUGGACUGAUUUCGUGCCACGGAGCCAAACAAACGAUUCUGCUGCGCGCCUGCCCCGUACCGAUCAGGAAGCAGUCGUGCCGAGGAUCGGAGCCCCUACUCUGUCGGCGGAGGGCUGGUUUGAGAGGUCGAUAGCCCACCGCUGCGUAAGAGUCCUCAAAUCACCAACACCUGCCACAACUCAGAUGGACGUUGAAACGUGAAGCCGGGCGAAGGAAGCCAGACGCAAAAGUCCGCAUGUUGUAUGAUUCCAUUUACGUGAAGUAUCCAGAAUGGACCAGUGCAUGGAGACAGAAGGGAUGAAGGGAAGAUGAAUGGAUCACCCUUGACUCCGAGGUAACAUCGCAGAGGGAAUGACCAUGAAGCCCAACAAUCUCCUCGGGAUCCUGCUUGUAUCGUAUCCUCUCCUCAAGGACCAUCCAAGGGCUCCACACUUCUUUCUGUGACUAAAGGGACCACUGCAACUCUGGGGAAGGAAUCUCCCCCUUUGGGGAGCAUUUUCUUCGUGUUCUGAGAAAGGAGACCAUGGCUUCCAGGUGAUGUUGGAGGAUAAGGGAAACAAAUCUAGAGUGAAGGAAGACAGAUAACGCCAGCACCAUUCGCUGAGCCCUAACUCGGAGCCAGGCACUGAGCUAAGAGCUUCUCAGUGAUGACUGUUCUGAUUCUCACUCACAACAGCCUUGCCCUGCAGAUACGGCCAUUAUCCUGACUUGACGGAGGAACACCCAGCGUUUGGGAGAUGAAGUCACUGGCCCGAGGCCACCCAGGUGUUCGAACUCACAUCUGCCCACCUCACAGCCCACACUUUUACCCCUGCUGUUGCUGAAGCUCAGGAGAAGUCAGUGGAAGAUUCAUUGAGGUAACGCACUUGAGUUUAAUCUUGAAGACAAAGUUGGUAAGAAAGGAGAGAGGAAGAAAGUGAACUGGGCAGACACAGUCUGAAGUUCCAACUCCUUGUCACACACUACAGGGGCCCCGUCUCUGCCCCUCCCUUGCUCACGCUGUCUCUCAAAAA
Long non-coding RNA from Panthera uncia (snow leopard), 1688 nucleotides. RefSeq lists it as uncharacterized. The record is from RefSeq and is a predicted model, not a curated record. Lineage: Eukaryota; Metazoa; Chordata; Mammalia; Carnivora; Felidae. The transcript is spliced from 5 exons.